This is a non-coding RNA of Collybiopsis luxurians FD-317 M1, 94 nucleotides long. The record is from the annotation of a GenBank genome assembly. NCBI's taxonomy places the organism in Eukaryota, Fungi, Basidiomycota, Agaricomycetes, Agaricales, Omphalotaceae.
GGUUCGGUGGUGUAGUGGUUAUCACGUCUGUCUCACAUAUAUCGGGUAUUGCCAAGUGCACAGGAGGUCCCCGGUUCGAAACCGGGUCGAACCA